GGUGCUGGCGAGGAGCGCAUGCUCAUGGGGAAUUUAUCUCGUAAUAACUGGUUUUGGGGGCUGCCGGAUAUGCGAUGCAGCCAUGAGCUUCGGUCAUGAUGAGACAAUUGAAAAUGGAUGGUAUUCGGCCACCAAGAUUUUAGCCACAAUGGGCCCAUGGCUUCACCAUUAAUGCUUCACUUCCACGAUGGUUUUCAGCAUAGCUUAGUUCCUUGCUUAGAUGGAGGCACACCCG
RNAcentral lists this long non-coding RNA (235 nucleotides) under Elaeis guineensis (African oil palm). Its description in RNAcentral is "long non-coding RNA (EGUI_LNC048548)". Lineage: Eukaryota; Viridiplantae; Streptophyta; Magnoliopsida; Arecales; Arecaceae. The record is from RNAcentral.